RNAcentral lists this unclassified non-coding RNA (234 nucleotides) under root metagenome. RNAcentral's name for it is "partial contains small subunit ribosomal RNA, internal transcribed spacer 1, and 5.8S ribosomal RNA". The record is from RNAcentral.
UUUCCGUAGGUGAACCUGCGGAAGGAUCAUUCACAAUGAGUGUUUAAUGGCACUCUAAAUCCAUUACCCACCUUGUGUGCAAUGUCGGGGAGAACACCCCACUCACUCUUCUGAGAGAGGGGGGGGGGAUCAUGUUCUUCUUUUCAUACAUACCAACUUUCAGUAUCAGUCUACAUCUAUUUAGAGUAUAAAAAACUCGAAAUACAACUUUCAACAACGGAUCUCUUGGCUCUC